GUCUCAAUAGCUAAGUGGUAUAGCAUGCGAUUGCAGUUGUUCCCAAUCUAUCGCAGGGUCCGGUGUUCGAACCACCGUUGGGACU
RNAcentral lists this transfer RNA (85 nucleotides) under Collybia nuda. RNAcentral describes it as "Lepista nuda tRNA". It matches the Rfam family "tRNA". Rfam says of the family: Transfer RNA (tRNA) molecules are approximately 80 nucleotides in length. Their secondary structure includes four short double-helical elements and three loops (D, anti-codon, and T loops). The record is from Rfam by way of RNAcentral. Lineage: Eukaryota; Fungi; Basidiomycota; Agaricomycetes; Agaricales; Clitocybaceae.